This 84-nucleotide transfer RNA is filed under the name Sporichthya sp. RNAcentral's name for it is "tRNA-Leu". It matches the Rfam family "tRNA". Rfam says of the family: Transfer RNA (tRNA) molecules are approximately 80 nucleotides in length. Their secondary structure includes four short double-helical elements and three loops (D, anti-codon, and T loops). Further hydrogen bonds mediate the characteristic L-shaped molecular structure. tRNAs have two regions of fundamental functional importance: the anti-codon, which is responsible for specific mRNA codon recognition, and the 3' end, to which the tRNAs corresponding amino acid is attached (by aminoacyl-tRNA synthetases). tRNAs cope with the degeneracy of the genetic code in two manners: having more than one tRNA (with a specific anti-codon) for a particular amino acid; and 'wobble' base-pairing, i.e. permitting non-standard base-pairing at the 3rd anti-codon position. Lineage: Bacteria; Bacillati; Actinomycetota; Actinomycetes; Sporichthyales; Sporichthyaceae. The record is from RNAcentral.
GCCCGGGUGGCGUAACUGGCAGCCGCGGCGAGCUUAAACCUCGCUUCCCGAAAGGGAGUACGGGUUCAAAUCCCGUCCCGGGCA